This 493-nucleotide ribosomal RNA is filed under the name uncultured bacterium. RNAcentral describes it as "partial 16S ribosomal RNA". It matches the Rfam family "Bacterial small subunit ribosomal RNA", at positions 30 to 523 of the family's 1533-position model. The record is from RNAcentral.
AUUGAACGCUGGCGGCAUGCCUUACACAUGCAAGUCGAACGGUAACAGGUUAAGCUGACGAGUGGCGAACGGGUGAGUAAUAUAUCGGAACGUGCCCAGUCGUGGGGGAUAACGUAGCGAAAGCUACACUAAUACCGCAUACGAUCUACGGAUGAAAGCGGGGGAUCGCAAGACCUCGCGCGAUCGUAGCGGCCGAUAUCAGACUAGGUUGUUGGUGAGGUAAAAGCUCACCAAGCCUGCGAUCUGUAGCUGGUCCGAGAGGACGACGAGCCACACAGGAACUGAGACACGGUCCAGACUCCUACGGGAGGCAGCAGUGGGGAAUUUUGGACAAUGGACGCAAGUCUGAUCCAGCAAUGCCGCGUGCAGGACGAAGGCCUUCGGGUUGUAAACUGCUUUUGUACGGAACGAAACGGUGAGCUCUAAUACAGUUUGCUAAUGACGGUACCGUAAGAAUAAGCACCGGCUAACUACGUGCCAGCCGCCGCGGUAA